GACAAAUUUCGGGCCAGUGAAUAAUUUUGUGGGCUUGUAACUUUCAGGCAUAGCUAGCCCGUAUGGCUAGCAAAAUCUGGAAAUUAUUUCGCACACUGAAUAUUGCUACCAUCAAC
Molecule: long non-coding RNA, 116 nt
Organism: Haliotis rubra (blacklip abalone)
Lineage: Eukaryota; Metazoa; Mollusca; Gastropoda; Lepetellida; Haliotidae
Exons: 3
Source: RefSeq, a predicted model, not a curated record